Molecule: ribosomal RNA, 253 nt
Filed under: uncultured bacterium
Lineage: Bacteria
Description: partial 16S ribosomal RNA
Rfam family: Bacterial small subunit ribosomal RNA
Source: RNAcentral
UACGGGGGGGGCAAGCGUUGUUCGGAAUUACUGGGCGUAAAGGGCUCGUAGGCGGCCAACUAAGUCAGACGUGAAAUCCCUCGGCUUAACCGGGGAACUGCGUCUGAUACUGGAUGGCUUGAGUUUGGGAGAGGGAUGCGGAAUUCCAGGUGUAGCGGUGAAAUGCGUAGAUAUCUGGAGGAACACCGGUGGCGAAGGCGGCAUCCUGGACUGGUACUGACGCUCAGGAGCGAAAGCGUGGGGAGCGAUCCGG